AUCGAUUUUCCGGUUGAUCCUGCCGGAGGUCACUGCUAUCGGGGUUCGAUUAAGCCAUGCGAGUUGAGAGGGUUAAGACCCUCGGCGGACUGCUCAGUAACACGUGGAUAACCUGCCCUAAGGUGGCGGAUAACCCCGGGAAACUGGGGAUAAUACUCCAUAGGUUAAAGGUACUGGAAUGUUCUUUAACCGAAAGUUCCGGCGCCUUAGGAUGGAUCUGCGGCCGAUUAGGUUGUUGUUGGGGUAGUGGCCCAACAAGCCUGUAAUCGGUACGGGUUGUGGGAGCAAGAGCCCGGAGAUGGAAUCUGAGACACGAUUCCAGGCCCUACGGGGCGCAGCAGGCGCGAAAACUUUACAAUGCAGGAAACUGUGAUAAGGGAACCCCGAGUGCCCGUAUAUGCGGGCUGUCCGGAUGUUUAAAACGCAUCCGAAGAAAGGGCCGGGCAAGACCGGUGCCAGCCGCCGCGGUAAUACCGGCGGCUCGAGUGGUGGCCACUUUUAUUGGGCUUAAAGCGUUCGUAGCUUGAAUAAUAAGUCUCUUGGGAAAUCUGCAGGCUUAACCUGCAGGCGUUUAAGAGAAACUGUUGUUCUAGGAACCGGAAGAGGUGAGAGGUACUCCGGGGGUAAGGAGUGAAAUCCUGUAAUCCCCGGGGGGACACC
Molecule: ribosomal RNA, 660 nt
Filed under: uncultured archaeon
Lineage: Archaea
Description: bacterial SSU rRNA
Rfam family: Archaeal small subunit ribosomal RNA
Source: RNAcentral